Molecule: transfer RNA, 95 nt
Filed under: Caulobacter rhizosphaerae
Lineage: Bacteria; Pseudomonadati; Pseudomonadota; Alphaproteobacteria; Caulobacterales; Caulobacteraceae
Description: tRNA-Arg
Source: RNAcentral
GGUGGCGGCGGGCAGGUCGUCGAACGCACCGGCUUCGAAGCGGUGCAGCCGGUGGGCGAAAGGCAGGGCCGAGGUUCCGAUCAUCGCCGCCACCG